RNAcentral lists this ribosomal RNA (493 nucleotides) under uncultured bacterium. Its description in RNAcentral is "partial 16S ribosomal RNA". It matches the Rfam family "Bacterial small subunit ribosomal RNA", at positions 28 to 506 of the family's 1533-position model. The record is from RNAcentral.
GACGAACGCUGGCGGCGUGCUUAACACAUGCAAGUCGAACGGUGAAGCGCCUUCCUUUUUGGUGGGUGUGGAUGAGUGGCGAACGGGUGAGUAACACGUGAGUAACCUGCCCCCUUCUUCUGGAUAACCGCAUGAAAGUGUGGCUAAUACGGGAUAUUCUGGGUCUGUCGCAUGAUGGGUCUGGGAAAGAUAUUGUUUCGGUGGGGGAUGGGCUCGCGGCCUAUCAGCUUGUUGGUGGGGUGAUGGCCUACCAAGGCGGUGACGGGUAGCCGGCCUGAGAGGGUGGACGGUCACACUGGGACUGAGACACGGCCCAGACUCCUACGGGAGGCAGCAGUGGGGAAGAUUGCACAAUGGGCGCAAGCCUGAUGCAGCGACGCCGCGUGAGGGAUGGAGGCCUUCGGGUUGUGAACCUCUUUCGCCAGUGAAGCAGGCCUGCCUCGUUUGUGGGUGGGUGGACGGUAGCUGGAUAAGAAGCGCCGGCUAACUACGU